RNAcentral lists this non-coding RNA (27 nucleotides) under Bombyx mori (domestic silkworm). The record is from RNAcentral. Lineage: Eukaryota; Metazoa; Arthropoda; Insecta; Lepidoptera; Bombycidae.
UGAUUGUAUUGGGAGUAUGUUGUAUUA